UUUGGAGUUUGGUCUGAGUUGAUUUCUAGUCAGAUAAAAAAAUAUUAAUUAUCAUUAUCAUCACCACAGGUCUUCAGAUUUUGAAGCAAACAAAAUGUUACUUGAUGGACACAAAGCAGAGCUAAGUUUUGACACAAAUCACCUGCAUAUUGUUAGUAUAUUCAUGUACACACAUUCAGCCCAGUUCUGUCUCAAAUGAAUUAAAUUCCUGGAGUCCCACUGACCACAUGAAGAAGGAAAAUGACCUGAAAUCACAUGUUGAACAGCUCCAAAUAGAGAAAACUGGAUGUAUCCAUCUCAGAGAAAGGAGAGCAAAACAAGGUCUGUUGGUAGAAGUCUCAAAUAUUAUGCAGCUUCUCCCCAUUUCUCAUUUCCUCAUUUUUCUGAUCUGGGAGGAGAGCUUCUUUGUCUUGUCAUGAUCAAAGGGAGAGGAGAGUGCCUGAUGUUAUCAGGAUUUUCACGGUAUGCCAAAUUAGUAGAGAAAAAGACAGGGAGGAAGGGAAAAGAGAGUUAUAAAAUUACUUUUAUUUCAUGAUAUGCUGUUUAUUUCAAGAACAUGUUGGUAUGCAUUUGAAUUGAGAACCCAAACGCUGAAAUCAC
Molecule: long non-coding RNA, 600 nt
Filed under: Anser brachyrhynchus (Pink-footed goose)
Lineage: Eukaryota; Metazoa; Chordata; Aves; Anseriformes; Anatidae
Description: lncRNA (ENSABRG00000011003.1)
Source: RNAcentral